UUGUGUUAAUCGACCGAGUUGGUUGACAGUCAUCAAUAAAAGCGAAGAUGCAGAACGACGCUGGUGAAUUCGUGGACCUGUACGUCCCUCGUAAAUGCUCUGCUAGCAACAGAAUCAUUGGUGCCAAGGACCAUGCCUCCAUCCAGAUCAACAUUGCUGAGGUGGACAGGGUUACAGGCAGGUUCAAUGGACAGUUCAAGACCUAUGCCAUCUGUGGCGCCAUCCGUAGAAUGGGUGAAGCUGAUGACUCCCUCCUGAGGCUCGCAAAGACCGACAGCAUUGUGGCCAAGUAA
RNAcentral lists this unclassified non-coding RNA (293 nucleotides) under Hevea brasiliensis (rubber tree). The record is from RNAcentral. Lineage: Eukaryota; Viridiplantae; Streptophyta; Magnoliopsida; Malpighiales; Euphorbiaceae.